RNAcentral lists this transfer RNA (64 nucleotides) under Mengenilla australiensis. RNAcentral's name for it is "tRNA-Asn". The record is from RNAcentral. Lineage: Eukaryota; Metazoa; Arthropoda; Insecta; Strepsiptera; Mengenillidae.
AUAAUUGAUAAAAUUUUAUAAUUUUACUAUUAACAAUAAUAUACCUCUUUUUGGUUUCAAUUAA